GACGAACGCUGGCGGCGUGCUUAACACAUGCAAGUCGAACGGAAAGGCCCCUUUGGGGGUACUCGAGUGGCGCACGGGUGAGUAACACGUGAGUAACCUGCCCUUGACUUCGGGAUAACUUCAGGAAACUGGGGCUAAUACCGGAUAGGAAUCCUUGCUGCAUGGUGGGGGUUGGAAAGCUUCGGCGGUUUUGGAUGGACUCGCGGCUGAUCAGCUUGUUGGUGGGGUAGUGGCUUACCAAGGCUUUGACGGGUAGCCGGCCUGAGAGGGCGACCGGCCACAUUGGGACUGAGAUACGGCCCAGACUCCUACGGGUGGCAGCAGUGGGGAAUAUUGCUCCAUGGGCGGAAGCCUGAUGCAGCAACGCCGCGUGCGGGAUGACGGCCUUCGGGUUGUAAACCGCGUUCAGCAGGGGCGAAGCUUGUGGUGACGGUACCUGCAGAAGAAGCACCGGCUAACUACGUG
RNAcentral lists this ribosomal RNA (465 nucleotides) under uncultured bacterium. Its description in RNAcentral is "partial 16S ribosomal RNA". It matches the Rfam family "Bacterial small subunit ribosomal RNA", at positions 28 to 507 of the family's 1533-position model. The record is from RNAcentral.